GUUAUAACGUAUUAAUUACGUUUUGAAAUUGUUCAAUUGAUUAAUAGAGUAUUAAUCAAAUUAGUUAAUUUUUUUAGGGCAUUGGGCCUAAUUUACCCAUUUUUCGCUCCUCGGGCAAAGCACUUUCGCAAGGGGCCCUUGGCUCCCUCCGUGCAUGAAAGCAGGUCUUAAAGGCCUCUAAUAAUCAAUUCUAAAACACAGUCAAUGCUCCUCAGUGAACUAUAUGUACACGGUAACAACCCCUUCAUCCCCAGUCGAUGCUUCAGUGUAGUAUAGAACACAAUCAUGUGAACUCGAAGAAAUAUAUAAUCAUGGUUACUCUUCUGAUCCAUCUCAAUAUCACGUGUCUUACAUUCCAAAUCACAAAUAUUUCAUAUCUUAUCUUUGAAUUCCACAACUAUCAUAACGAAAGAAUAUUUCCAUAAUAAUCAUGUAAUCGAAUAUAUACUUACGUAAUAUAAUAGUAUAAUUAAUUAUCAAUACUUGAAUAUAUUUAAAUUUUUUUCCACUCACGGAUCUACGGAUAUAAAUCUGAUUAAAUUGAUGAGCCUUUUCAAGCUUCCACGUCCUUAUCUGAAAUAACGGUAUAAUUUUUCGAAUUAAAACCAAACAAUUAAAAUAAUAUAAAUCCACCACUUAACUUCUCAACUUCUAUACUUAAUUUUUCGAAUUAAAACCAAACAAUUAAAUUAAUAUAAAUCCACCACUUAACUUCUUAACUUCUAUACUUACUUUUACAUCUCCAAUUCCCCAACUUUUCUUCUGUAUAUUGAAAUCUGGCAUCGAAACCGUUGACAGAAAUAGCACUUUUCUGGGUAGAAUUUCAAAAUUAACACCUGUACUAUAAUAGCUCGAAAAUUGAUUUUUAAAAAUGAAGAAUUCCAAUCUCAAAUACUUAAGUGUUUAGCAUCAUAUAAUCAGAAGAAACUCAAAGAAUAUCUCUUUUAUCUAGCAACCCACUUCUAAAAUUCUACUAUCUUCAUCUCCAAUUUUCAAAUAAACAUUUCCUUACUCUAUUCUUAUUUAAAACCUUGAAUACAUAUCAACAACACUUAAUUCUUGCUAACUUCAAACUUUUAAAGAUAAGUUCCGUAAACCCUAAAGGAGAUAAUUUCACAUUCUUAUACUUACCUCUCUAAAUCAAAGGGGGAAAUUGAGAACUUGACCUUGUAAACUUGGAACCUACCCCUUCGUUCUUUUUCUCUCUCUCUUCCAUUUCCUCCCUUUUCCUUCCAUGGUUUCAUUCCUGUUUCUCCAUUCAGUUUUUGUCCCCUCAAAAUGACCAAAAAGAGAUCAAUUAUCCUUUAAGUUAGUGGAUAACCAUUAUAAUAUUGCAACUAAAGUCCCCAUCCUUAAUAUAAUAUACCUUUAAUUCCAAUAAAUAGAAAACAAAUCCCUAAUUGUCUAUAUAUAUACUUUUGGCCCUUAAGUACUUGUAAUUACAAAUAAAGCCCCAUAAAAAUUAUUUUUUCAACUUAAAUCCUUAUUAACUUUGAAUUUGACUAAUUACUUUGCUUGACUUUGACUAAAAAUGAGUGGGGUGUAAUAAUCUUGCCCACUUCAAAGAAAUUCAUCCUCAAAAUUCAAUCCACUAGAAGUCGAACAUAUUGGAAAAUAAAGCAAAAAUAAUGAAUGAUUCCUCCAACAACCUUUAACAAGGCCCAAAGUUCAUUCUUUCCUUAUUAUACUUCGAAUAACUUUCCUAUGAACCAAUAUAUGAUAUUUUCAACUUUUCAUUUUACAUUUCUUAUUUCUCCUUCUCUAUAAAUAUGCACUCCCUGCAAUACCCAUAUACCUAUUCAGCUUAUCUUCUUCUCUUGUAAUUUUCCAUUUCACUUUUCAGUUAUGCCCAUAUACAACACACAACUUACUAAUGCAGUUUUCAAUUCCUCAUCCUUUUCUUUCCACGCCACAAAGUUUCAUUGUCCAUUUAAUUCUUUAAGGCACCACAACUACAUGUAGAGAGAAUCCAAAAUUUUGCACAACUUAAUACUUACCCGUACUAAAGUAAGAAACUUGAGCUUACCAAUUUCUUAAAUAAAGAAAGAAAAACACAACACCUAGACUUUAUCUCUAUUCCUCCUUUUUUUUUUUUUUUCAACCUAAUUUAUCACUAAUCUCUCUCAUUUUGUAACCUACCAUAUAAUUGGUCAAGGUAGUCAUAAUCCCAUCCUAUAUUUUUCUCGAAGUACACAUGAAUGUUAAUCUCUUCAAUGCGUAAUAUGCAUAAUAAAACAAUGUAUUUCAUUGAUCAACAUCCUAUAUAAUAUUAUCAUUUUGUCCUCUCAUAUAGCAUAAGUAUAUACCAACAUGCUUCCUACUCUCGUCCCAAAGGUAUGACCACAAUUCACCACAAUUUUCGAUAGCGCUAAUGAUCAUUUAGCUCCCCGACAUAAUCAAAAUCAUUUAGCUCCCCGACAUAAUCAAAAUCAUUUAGCUCCCCGACAUAAUCAAAAUCAUUUAGCUCCCCGACAUAAUCAAAAUCAUUUAGCUCCCCGACAUAAUCAAAAUCAUUUAGCUCCCCGACAUAAUCAAAAUCAUUUAGCUCCCCGACAUAAUCAAAAUCAUUUAGCUCCCCGACAUAAUCAAAAUCAUUUAGCUCCCCGACAUAAUCAAAAUCCCUCACAGAUUAUCACCAAUUACACAUAUUAUAUCAUUUCCUUGUAUUAUUGUGCAAGCUAUAAUUAAAGAUUUUCUUAUGUAUACAUAAAAAAUCAUGUAAUUUUACAAAUAAAUUGAUACUUAAAUGGUUGUACCAUCUAUCACUUUGAAUGCCUAUACAUAAACAACCUGCAAAAUCAUCAAAAUCUGUUUAGCUCUUAAUAUUUUACAUAUACCAUGGUUCCAAUCCAACAACUAAUAACUUUAUCAACCAUCAGAUCAUUGCAACUAUCAUACUUACAUACUAAUCAUUUUUGGAUCUAUUAAAAAUAUUUUUCUAUCAUAUUUGGUUCCAUACAUUCGAGUCUGAGAGCUCGUAAUUUCCACCACCACGACAUAUAACCAUAUGCAAUGAAUAUGCAUCAUAUGCCAAUGCAAGAACUAUGAAAACUUUCAAAACUAAUAUCACUUUGACAGGACCCGUCUCGAAUCACUCUAGUGGACUAGAAACGUGAUGUGCACCGAUGAUAAAUGAUGACUAGAUGCUAGAUCCAUCACCAAGGCUAACCAUGAGCUACUACAAAAUAUGCACUAAAAUCAAAUGUUUAUAAAAAAUAUAAUACAAUUGGCCAGAAAUAAUUACUUCAUCUUUUAUCAAAAAUGAAUCGUAUCACUCAAUAUGUCAUGUGGUUCUAAUUAUAAAACCACCAGGCUCCUCAAGCUAUCAAAGACUAAUACUACCGUAAGAAAAAUCAUGGAAAAAUAUGAGUUUAUCACUCAGUGAGUGGAAGAGUUCGAAAAUAAUUAUACUUUUUCAUUUAAACAUUUUUCUCAUACAUAACAUAGACAUCAAGUUCAUAUCGUUUAAUAAUUCACAUGAUAGCCUCACACAAUUAUAGCAAAAAAUGAGACAUUUUCAUAACUUUGUAAAUAUCAUCUCAUAUUCACGAUAUAGUCAUCAGCUGAUAUCUAUAUCAUCAUCCCAUCACACUAUCUGUGAUCUACAAAAAAGUACCCUCUAACUAAAAUCUGAAAUCCGUCUCUCGGGCCAAGUACUUUAACCACAGGCCUUUGGCUCCCUCCAUGUACGAAAGUGGGUUUCAAAGACCUCUAAUGAUCAAUUUUAGAACACGACCAGGCCCCUCAGUGAACUAUAUGUACACGGUCAUGAUCUUUUUAUCACCAGUCAACCCUUAGUGUAGUAUAGAACACGAUCAAUGCUCCUCAGUAAACUAGAAGAAGUAUAUAAUCAUGAGUAUUUUUUCUUGUCCAUCUUAAUAUCACAUGUCUGACAUUCCAAAUCACAAAUAUUUCAUAUUUAAUCUUUGAAUUCCACAAAUAUCAUAAUGAAAGAAUAUUUCCACAACAAUCAUGUAAUCAAAUAUAUAAGUGCACAUAAUGUAGUAGUAUAAUUAAUUUAUCAAUACUUGAAUAUAUUUAUAUUUUUUUCCAUUCAUAGAUCUAUGGAUAGAAAUCUGAUUAAAUUGACGAGCUUUCCAAGCUUCCACAUCCCUUUCUGAAAUAACGGUAUAAUUUCUCGAAUUAAAACCUAACAAUUAAAUUAAUAUGAAUCCAUCACUUAACUUUUCAACUUUUAUACUUACUCUUACAUCUUCAAUUUCCCAACUUUUCUUUUCUUUAAUGAUUUAUCAACCGAUCACCCUACACUAUCAAAUCUAUUACACCACUCACAGUUCCUUAAAACCACUACCUUAUACAUAUACAACCUCUAUACAUAGUUAGUCCAAUACAUAGACUUCAAUAUUUGUCAUAUAAAUUCAUUUAAACCUUUAAAAAUCUGGAAAUCCAAAGUUUGACAAAAACAACACUAAAAUUCCACAAUAUAGCCAAUUUCUAUAUAUUGAAAUUUGGCAUCGAAACCAUUGACAGAAAUAGCACUUUUCUGGGCAGAAUUUCAGAAUUAACACCUGUACUAUAAUAGCUCAAAAAUAGCUUUUAAGAAAAUGGAGAAUUCCAAUCUAAAAUUCUUAAUUUAAGCGUUUAACAUCAUAUAAUCAUAAGAAACUCCAAGAAUAUAUCUUUUAUCUCACAACCCAUUUCCAAAAUUCUACUUUCUUCAACUCCGAUUUUCAAAUAAACAUUUCCUUACUAUAUUCUUAUUUAAAACCUUGAGUACACAUCAAUAACACCUAGUUCUUGCUAACUUCAAAGUUUUAAAGAUAAGUUCCAUAAACCCUAAAGGAGAUAACUUUACCUUAUACUUACCUCUCUAAAUUAAAGGGGGAAAUUGAGAAAUUGAGAACCUGACCUUG
Molecule: long non-coding RNA, 4874 nt
Filed under: Olea europaea (common olive)
Lineage: Eukaryota; Viridiplantae; Streptophyta; Magnoliopsida; Lamiales; Oleaceae
Description: long non-coding RNA (OEUR_LNC007540)
Source: RNAcentral